UUCAUUGUAUUAAAUUGUACUCGAGCACCUGAAGUAUUCGGCCGAGCACUCGGAUGUGCCGAGCAUAGCGAUGCUCGAGACGAACAGCAGUUCGGCCAAGCAUCCUCGCUCAACACUACUGUAGAUAAAUGGUGUCUACAUCAUGAAAGUUUUUUAAUGUUUUCCCACAAUGCUUUCAUGCUAUAAUCUGAUUGGCUACCAGGGGUAAUAUCGUACAUAUGUGGAGUGUGCCCUGUGACACCCCAUUGUCCUUAUUCCUGGUGGUGAUUGCAUGAGUUAUACUUGCACAUAUAGGUAAAAAUAUCCAAAGCAUGUUAUUUUCCAUAUCUGUAGGUCGAUGCUUCCAGCUAUUUCAGUGGACCUUAUUACUUCAUCAGGUCUAUAUAUCGUUUGUUGGGCUUUUUUUUAUGAAUUUCUUAUGAGCCGGCAUGUGUAUUUAUAUGACAUAAAAUUUUAUUUCAAGCGUAUACACCGCUAAUGUGCCUAGUGGUAUCUAGAACAGAGUCAUGGAUACCACACCUACUAAGGGAAUGAAUGUGCUGUAUCGGUAAAACAGUGUAAAUCCAAGGACCUCGUGGAAGACCAGUGAGGGAAUGUACGAUGGCAACCAUGUGCCUUUAUUAUAAAGAUUUAAUAAAUCUCUUGAUAUCAUA
Long non-coding RNA from Bufo bufo (common toad), 653 nucleotides. RefSeq lists it as uncharacterized. The transcript is spliced from 2 exons. NCBI's taxonomy places the organism in Eukaryota, Metazoa, Chordata, Amphibia, Anura, Bufonidae. The record is from RefSeq and is a predicted model, not a curated record.